Molecule: ribosomal RNA, 70 nt
Filed under: uncultured bacterium
Lineage: Bacteria
Description: partial 16S ribosomal RNA
Source: RNAcentral
GGCGGGGGGGGGGCACGGGGGGCCUACGGGAGGCAGCAGUGGGGAAUUUUGGACAAUGGGCGCAAGCCUG